GGAAGUACUGCCAUUUAGUAACAGAAGUUGUUCUCUAGAACUAGGAUGCUAUCAUAAAUGAACAGUAUGUGAAAUACAAUGGAAUUUACUGAUCUCACUAGAAAUAUUUGGAAAUCCUGUUGCCUGAUUUUUUUCUACACCACCCAAGGAAUAAAUAAGCAACCCCCACGCUCAGGGAGGCUACAAAAGUUGAGACCAAAGAGGAUGAAGGCACCAGUGAGGCAAAAUGAAGAAGGGUUCAUCACUCAUGGACAACAGCUACAAGAAUUCGGCAUGGAGGAGGUUCCUAUGAGCUCUACAGUGUUCAUUUAGGUGCUAACUCCUUUCUUCUUCAGCCAUACCAAUAAUCAAAGGCAGAAAGACUAAAAACCAUCACCAGAAGAGUGAAGUCUCUGUUGAACAAACAACCUCUUCUAACUGAAUCUUGGCCUGGUCUGAAAACACCAUGAAGCCCCUGAUACUGGGAGCAUUUGUUCACAACUGAACAAACAGGCCUAGUGUUUGCAGCAAGGCACUAGCAGAAGGCUGAAGCAAAACCCCAAGGUCCCUGACUUAAGGGAGUAGGGAAGGUCACUUGUUAGAAAGAAAGUCCGGAG
This 596-nucleotide long non-coding RNA is filed under the name Gallus gallus (chicken). Lineage: Eukaryota; Metazoa; Chordata; Aves; Galliformes; Phasianidae. The record is from RNAcentral.